GUGAUUUUGUUUUGUACUUUGAUGAGCUAAUAAUCAGCUCUCUUUUUUCAUUUUUGUUCUAAGCAGGCCUGGAAGAGAGUGAACUGACGGCGCUGACAAAAUUACCAAGUACGAAAAUCAGGUGGGCAGUACGGAUUAUAAUUGAUUACAAUCAGAGACUGAUCGGCGGCAAGUCUCUGUCUAAAAAUGGAUUGAUCGAUUCAAUCCAGUCAAAAGUAUAGAGAACUAUUUUCCUAAAAAGGAAAACGAAAUAAAACAAAUGAUUGAACUGAUUUUGCUGAUGUGGAGCAUCUGAUGACGUGCGCGGAAGGCUGCAGAUCAGCAAAAAAAAAAAAAUAUCAUGUGUGAAUGCAUGGGAGUGAAUGCGAGUGGUUGGACCAAGGGGGGAAAUAAAUAAAAGGUUGACAAACAGGAGAAGUGGAAGACUUAAAUCUGGGGAUGCUGAUGUUCUUUUGAGUGAAUGUCUGCUUUGUUGAUUUGGGUUAGACCAUAUUAAUACAUUAUAAAAUGCUAAAAGGGAAACAUUGAUGUAACUUAAGUUACCAUUAACUGAGGUAACACAUGAUUAAUAACUGUUCUGUUUAAGUUUAUUUUGUGUCAUGACACAGAUUGGAUCAUAUAGGGGGAGAGUUGAGUAAAGGUUUUGUUUUCAGGAAAUUCCAAGGAUCCAGAGUUCAAUGGAGCAGCGAGUUGGAGAAGAUUUGACAUGAUGAUUAAAUUGAUUUUGUUCCUUAAACACAGGUUUUCAGGGCUGGAGCAAAACACCGGAGAGGAGAAUUGCUGAGCUGUUCUGAGAAAUGAAAUGACUAACCUUUUUUCCUUUUGAUUUGUUAAGCUUGGGUGGAGCAUGUUGAGUUUUUUGCCACAUGAGAUGUGUCAAAAAAAAGAGAGGGAUUUAAGAUUUAAUUUGUUUAAUUUGAAAGGGGUUUUACUAGGAUUUUAUAAUGAUUGGGGUUGUUUGAUAAUCUAGAAAUAGUAAAACUGAGGACUUGUUAAAAGAAAGGAUUAAAAUGAACUGAAUUAGGUUUAGAAGAUAAAUUGCUGGUGUUAAUAAGAAGUUGUACACCAAAUUUAAAGGGG
Molecule: long non-coding RNA, 1080 nt
Organism: Oreochromis aureus
Lineage: Eukaryota; Metazoa; Chordata; Actinopteri; Cichliformes; Cichlidae
Source: Ensembl